UGCUGAUCCAUGUACAAAACCGAUCAAAUCAGGUGUAGAGAGUGAGAACACAUCUUACUGAUCGGAAAAAGUUAUAUAGUAGAGAGAUCGCAGUGGAACAGCAUCGGUUUCAUUAAUCAGGUUUCCUGCGUAUCUUGGUCGGGUCUUUUAGUAACGAGGGGAUUCUGUCCGUUGAUCGGUGAGGAGUGUGAAACCUUAGAUGGCGAGCCAACCAACUGGAUCUUCUGGAGUCUCUGCGAGCUUGAACUUCAAAUCCUGAGAAACAUUAUGUGGUAGGACUGUUCCCAACAAAGAAUCUUACAUACAUUGGAGGACAUUGUUUGGUUUUGGCCAUUUUCGAAAGACUGCCGAACUGGUCGUUCGAAUACACGUACACUGAUAAACACACACACCAAUAUUAGUUUAAAAAGGGGGCUUUCUUUCAUUUUAUUUGUACGCCAGCUACCUUCUAUUUUUACUUUGUACAAUAUCAUUUUCCUACUAAAGUUACAUUGAAACUGUUACAGUGAAUCCGUCCAUUCAUUUGUGUUGCAAUGUCUGAACCUCUUACGAACCUAGAGUUGUGUAUUUACCUAUAGAUGGGUUACAUUAGCAAUAUGUCUGCAUUGUAUUUUAGAGGCUAAAAAGAGAUGAAAGUUCUCAGUUGGCAUAUACAGGUGCUGGUCAUAUAAUUAGAAUAUCAUCAAAAAGUUCAUUUUUUUAUUAUAAAUUAUUUUUAAAAAUGAAACUUUCAUAUAUUCUAGAUUCCCUACAUGUAAAGUAAAACAUUUCAAAAGUUUUUUUUUUUUAAUUUUGAUGAUUAGAGCGUACAGCUCAUGAAAGUCCAAAAUCCAGUAUUUCAAAAUAUUAGAAUAUUUCCUAAAAUCAAUCAAAAAAUGGAUUUGCAAAACAGAAAAGUUAAAGUUCUUUAAAGUAUGUUCUUUUGUGCACUCAAUACUUGAUCGGCAGGACAUAUUACAGCAAAUGACUUGCUCCUAGCACAAAUUACUGCAUCAGUGAAGUGUGGCAUGGAAGUGAUCAGCCUGUGGCACUGCUGAGGCACUAUUGAGUCUUCAGAUCAUCUGUAUAUUGUUGGAUCGACUGUUUCUCAUCUUUCUCUUGAAAAUAUCCCAUAGAUUCAGGUCAGGCAUAUUGGCUGGCCAAUAAAGCACAGUAAUAUCAUGGUCAGCAAACCACUUGGAAGUGGUUUUUGCACUGUGGGCAGGUGCUAAAGUCCUGCUGGAAAAGGAAAUCAGCAUCUCCAUAAAGCUUGUCAGCAGAUGGAAGCAUAAAGUGCUUCAAAAUCUCCUGGAAGAUGGCUGCAUUGACUUUGCACUUGAUAAAACACAAUGGACCAACACCAGCAGACGUCACGGCCCCCCCCAAAUCAUUAUUGACUUCAGAAACUUCACACUAGACUUCAAGCAGCUUGGAUUCUGUGCCUCUCCAGUCUUCCUUCAGACUCUGGGACCAUGAUUUCAACAUGAAAUGCAAAAUUUACUUUUAUCUGAAAAGAGGACUUUCGACCACUGUUCACUGUCCAGUUCUUUUUCUCCUUAGCCCAGGUAAGAUGCUUCUGACAUUGUCUCUGGUUCAGAAGUGGCUUGGUAGUCCUUUUCCUGAAGAUGUCUGAUUGUGGUGACUCUUGAUGCGCUGACUCCGGCUUCAUUCUACUCAUUGUGAAGCUCUCCCAAGUGUUUGAAUCGGCUUUACUUGACAGUAUUCUCAAGCUUGCGGUCAUCCCUGUUGCUUGUGCACCUUUGCCUACCCAAUUUCUUCCUUCCAGUCAACUUUGCAUUUAAUAUGCUUUGAUAUUUCACUCUGUAAACAGCCACCCCAUUCAGUAAUGACCUUCUGUGACUUACUCUCUUUGUGGAGGGUGUCAAUGAUUGUCUCCUGGACCAUUGCCAAGUCAGCAGUCUUCCCCAUUAGUGUGGUUUCAAAAAACAAAAGAUACCCGGAUUUUAUACUGUAGGGAUGGUCAUUUAAUGAAACUCAAAUGUAAAUAUUCUAAUAUUUUGAGAUACUGGAUUUUGGACUUUCAUUAGCUGUACGCUCUAAUCAACAAAUUUACAAAAAAAAACUUUUGAAAUGUUUUACUUUACAUGUAGGGAAUCUAGAAUAUAUGAAAGUUUCAUUUUUUAAAAUAAUUUACAAUAAAAAAAUGAACUUUUUCACGAUAUUCUAAUUAUAUGACCAGCACCUGUACAUAGAUAAGCAUAUCUAUGUUUCUCUCUAUUUGUAGACUAUUUGUCUUAAUGUGAUGAACACCCCGGACAUGAUUUUGUAGUUUUUUCCAGCUUUCUGCAUCUCUAUAAUGUGUCUUUAGGUCCUGUGAAUAUUGUCCGGAUAGACGAUGGUUCACACUAACCAAUCUAUUUUCAGAAGAACAGAUUUUGACAGAUUUGACAUGUACAACCCACACUUAUCUCAUUUCCUUAAAAAGGGACCUUUUGGAGAAGCUGAAUUACUACUGUGAAUGAUUGCUCAAUGUCUUCAGUACACUUAAAAGUAAGGGAGAUAUGACUGAAAGGAACUGCUAUGAUGUGAUUUCAAAGAAAUCCUGUGUCACGUGAUUUCAAAGUGUCCUGGAUAUAUAAAUACCAGCAAAGAGCUUUAUUUGGUAUUUGGACAUCUAGAGGUGGACAGAAGAUACAGAAAUCAACGCUCAGGUUUGUCUUUUUAUCACUUUAAUUUCAACUGUUAUGUAUUACACUUUUACUAAUUGUAAUUAUUUUCAUUUUUAAUUAUUUGAAUAUAUUAUUUUAUGUUCUUGAUUCUUAUGUUCUUGGUUACUCUUGGUGCAUAUUGACAGACUUCGAAAAGACAUGACACACAAUUGGCAUUCAUAGCAAAAGCAUCCAGUGGGACUGAUGGUAGCCUAAACAUGAGCUCGCAUAUUGAUGCAUGAGCAAUUUUCGGAUUUGCAUAUGUUAUGGAGACCAUUUACAGAUUCUAAGGAUAUGAUCAAAAGGCACACAGAGGCGUGUCAUUUAAAAUGUCUUUAUUAUUAUUAUUAUUAUUAUUAGGCUUAGAAACUUUUUUUAAAUGACAAAUUCCUUUCACAAGAGAAGCUGUAUUCUCCAUUGUGGGUUUGAAAUAAAUAAAAAAAAUAAAAGCAAGGGACCAUUGCUUAGAUAAUGCAAACCAGCUGUUGUUGUAUCAAAUUACUUAUCGGUUACUUUAGCUUGCUUAAAACUUUUCAGAAGAACAAAAAAAAAAAAAAAUAAAAGACAGAGGUCAUUAUGGACUGUCCCUAGUCUCUCACCUGAAUCUGUCUUUUUUCUUUUAAAGAACUGUGGUGUGUCCAUUGCUCACUGGCAGGCCACACACACACACACACACACACACACACACACACACACACACACACAGAGAGAGAGUAAUGCUAGGAGUUGAGGAGUUAAGCCUGGUUCAGGUUAAAUCCUCUCUGUGUGAGGAAUGAAUAAAUAUAGCAAAAGAAAAACAUUAAACUUUCUUUUAUUGUCUAGUUUGAUAGUCCGCCACAACUGAAAAAUAACAGAUAUAAAUCUAGGAAUGAAUAACAAUUCAUUUAAACAGCCACAGUGAGUGUUUUCACACAUACUGCUGGUAUACAGUGAUAUGUCGUUUGUUUUCACUCUGGUCCAAACGCCAGGAGUGUUUACAUGACUCCCGAUUGUUAAAAUGAGUAUCAAAUUAACGAUAAACUUUAACAACAGAGACACACGUACGCACUACACGGGUACGCAGUUUAUUUGUCGCGCUGCUGUUUUUGUUUCACGCUCUAGCAGUUAAUAAACAGAACUGCAUGAGUCUCGCGGAAGAACAUUGUAACCGGCGCUACUUCUCUCCGUGUAUGACUAUGGACGAGUCACCCAGGUCCUGUGCUACUCCACAGCGGCGGCGACCCGCUGGACUAAAAUAGUCCGAAAAUAAACACUUAUUAUAGGUGUACCAUGGUGAUUCAGGAUACUGACUCCAGUACUCACCGAUAUGGUUUCGGAAUCGGAACAACUCUAGGUAAAAGGAAAGAAGUGUGAGACACAGCUUUGGAGCAACUUAGUUGAUUCACAACACUAUAUAACGGGCUCUCACUCUGCGUGUGUUUCGCGCUAGUUGACGGUCGUGCUGAGCGGUGCGGGUACAGAGGAGAAGAAGAAGAAGAGAAGAGGAUGACACCAUUUGCUAAGGGGGAUGUUUUCAUUUUCAUCCUUAACACAUACAUUUUAAACCACAAAAACAUCUCUACUGCUUACCGUAACCGUAACCGACUGUGUUUACCGAGAUACUCGUAAAGGCGGAGAUUUUGAGAUAAAUUUGUGUAAAUUUGUCCGUUUAGACGCAAUGACAGGUAAAAGAGAAUUAAUUUUCUUAUUUGCACGCUGUCGGAGGCGCGCAGCUCUGAGCUCUUCGGGUGUGUGUGACGCGCACACAAAACUUAUCACAGCGCGCGCGAGUUCUCUUUCACUUGAAUGCUUAUAUUGGCAAAGCUUGAAAACGCGUGCAAAUGAUAAACUUUAAUGGCCAUGCAGCGCUGGCUCGAUCGGGAAACUGACAGUUCCUUCAGCUGUCCGGAAUGUCUUUCACGCUGAAAGGCGCAGCUGCAUCCGCCACUGAAUGAAUGACACCGGCCCCGCUGUGAUAAAUAAGAGGAUGACAUCUAAUGGAGAAGUCUAGUAAUAAGAUUAAAGUCAAUCAGAUACUAUGUCCAAUGUUUGCGUAAAUAUGAAAAAAAAAUCGAUACGUGGCUUUUGAAAAUCGAUAUCGUAUCGACCGCAUUUUUAAAAAACGAUUAAUCAAAAAAUUGAUUUUUUUGCCCAGCCCUAAUUAACAAAUCCUUGGGAACUUUUGGGAUAAUGUAAGUACACAACUUGAUGAAAUAUUUCACACUGUGCGAGUGGUUUUGGGAUGUUUUAUUACAAAAAAUCUUACAUCGUAAAAGCGAUCAUAUUCCAAUUUUGAGGACCCUUCAAUGGCUGCCUAUUAAAUUCAGAAUUGAUUUUAAAAUCCUUUUAUUUGUUUAUAAAUCUCUACGUAAUCUCGCCCCAAUCUAUUUAUCCGAAUUGCUGCAACCAUAUACUCCAUCUUUGUAUAUACUUGUGGAAUAAUCUGCCUUUAGAAAUCAGGUUAGCUCUUUCCCUGACUACUUUUAAGUCUCUCCUAAAAACGUACUUGUUUUCCAUGGAUUAUAAUUAAUCUUCUUCUGUGGUUCUUGUCGUGUUUUUAUGCUGUUAAGUGUCUAUACCUUGUUUUAUUUAUUUAUUUAUUUUUUUAAACUGUGUUUUAGCUGUGUUGUUGAUUCUAUAUCUUUUUCUUCUUUCUGAAGCUCUGUACAGCACUUUGGUCAGUUGUGUGACUGUUUUAUAAGUGCUGUAUAAAUAAACUGAACUUGAACUUACAUAUUGUGCCUUUAAUCGUCCCUACCCCUUUUAAAGAAGGGCGUGUUAAACUAAGAAACUGAUGGUUUGCUCAAGGCUGUUGAUCUGCUGAAUUUUAAACAAUGUUAUAACUUCUUGCUUUCCUGUAUUCUGCUUCAGCUCUCUUUCCCUUGGUAAACUGUAUGCAUGUGUGUGAGUGUUAGAGUAGUUUCAGUGUUUAGUUUUCAUGCUCAUAUACUGGAGUCCCUAAUCAUGCAGAUUUUGACUACAUGCUCUCGGGCAGGGGUGGGCAAACUCGGUCCUGGAGGGCCGCUGUCCCUGCAGAGUUCAGCUGCAGCCCUGAUAAAACUCACCUGCGUGUAAUCCUGAAGAUCUUGAUUAGCUGGUUCAGGUGUGUUUGAUUAGGGCUGGAGCAAAACUCUGCAGGACAGCGGCCCUCCAGGACUGAGUUUGCCCACCCCUGCUCUAGGGGAUCCAAAUAUUUAUAUGAGUUAUAAUUAAUUAUUCAUAUUUCUGUUGAGCUAAUUUGCUACACUAAGCAAAUAAUAUAUAUAUAUUUUUUUUAUCACAAUUUACAGAAAACAUUCAGUGUGUCUUUUUUAUUCAAUAAAGACAAUCAUCUGAAUCUACUUGACUCUUCUGUAAUGAACCUCUACACACAUCUCACAUGUGGUUACCCUCGGCUGUGUUCCCCUUCAGCUCCUUACUACAACAAAAUAUACAACAAUUGUUCCUAUUGUCACAUCCUUUGUCUCUUUGUUUAAUAUUUAUUUUUAAUACAGAACUAAUGUUCCCAACAAAACUCUUAAUUUCUGUUACAGAAAAAAAAAACAAUCUACCAUUUCCUUAUAACAUCUAUAUAGUUAUUUCACAUUUCCAUCACAAUAGUUCUACAUAUCUUUCUUUUUCUUUUCUUUUUUCCAUGUGACAGUUUUACACCCUUUUCAUCUUUUAAUUGUUGAGGUUUCUUUACUAAACGUCCUGCUUUUGUGAAAACAGAUGGGACUGUACAGCGCUUUACAUCUCAUUCUCCAUAUUGCUGGUGAGUUGUGACUGAGCGUCAGCGGUUUCUGCGUUUCUGUUUCACUACCUUUUGUUUUGUUUGGUUAGAGUCUCUAGGGGUCAUUCCAUGCUCCCUUCGGAGAUGUUCCCUGUUUCUCUUUAUAACACCUCCAGAAUCCAGCUGGACACUGUAGGAUCUCGAGUCAAUGGGCUUCUCCCCUGUGCACUUUCUCCAGAUCUUUUGAGGCUCAAAUGCUUGUAUUCUCACAGAGUCACCUUGUUUUAGUGUGUCUGAGUCUCUGGCGGUUCUGUUAAAGUUUGUUGGUGUUCAUACUGUGACGAGAUUCAGUGUGUCAAAAAAUCUGAAAACACAUGAGGAUCCACAGCAGAGAGAAGUGCGGAAAGAGUUUCACUAUUAAAAGUCACCUGAAGAUACACAUGAAGAUCCAUGCAGUGGAGAAACCACAUCACCACAGUCUGAGAUCACAGUAUGUAUUAAUAAUAAUACAUUAUUAAAUAAAAAAACACAGUUUUUCAUUUCAAAAGCAUUUCUAAAUUCAGUUUAUAUUUCUAACAAAAAUGGUGAGAAGUGGUGAAAAAACUGAGCUACCACCAAAUCCAAACAUUAUCAUUUCUAACUUUCUUUCUUUCUUAUUUUCUAACUUUCAGAGCUUGAGUGUAACUUUGAUGAAGACCAGUGGUGCUCUAUAUAAGAUUGUUUUUACCUCAAUAUCCUUUAACAAAAUUACAGGACGGACUUAUGAAUUCCUCACCUCACUUUGUCAGAGUAAAAUGUAUCCACAUGUAUCACAGAUAGGUGGAUCAAUUAUGCACAUCUUCUGGGAAUGUAGAAAACAAACAUUUUUGGGAAGAGGUUCGCCCACCAUUGGUGGAAAUGCUUUAAUAACUGCAUGAUCAUAUUUUUGAGCAUAGCUGAAACUGUAUUUUUUUUCUUUUAAAUGUAAUUUCUACUGUUAUUACUUAUUUACUUUUAAUAUUAUGACCAUAAUUGUUCUUCCAUCUGCUACUGUAUCUAUUGUUGUUUUUGUUCUUUCUUCGCUCUUUUUUUUCUAUAUAAAAAUAUCAAAACUAAUAAAAAGACAACAGAAAAAAGAUGAAGCGCAUGUGGAGAGCCUUUUCUUGGCACUGGGUGAAAAUGCAGUACUUGAUUUAACAAUAAAAAGAAAAAAACAUUCUAGAUUGUACUUUUCUUCAACUAUAAAUCAGCCGUAUUUGGUUAUUAUUUAGUGCUCUUGAAAGUUGAACAACAGCUGAUUUUAUAGUCUCGUUGUAUUGCUGGGCAUUUGUCAUUAUAAAUCAACACAACUAGACAAUAAUUCAUGUUAAAAGAUUUAUUAGGAAGCAAAAGCUGUAUCAGUGUCUGUCCACUAGAGGACAGAAGAGAUCAGACAUUAAGAUCAGCAGUAUAGCAAUAAUAUUCAUCAAUCACAUGCUUAUGAAAAAAAUAACAAAACACAAGAAACACCACAAUGUGGUAUCAUGACACUGAGUAUUAAAUCUGAACAAAAUUUUUUUUUUUUUUUUUUUGGAGAAGUACAAUAAGGCUACUAUAAGUGCUUCAGCAUGAAUAUAAAGGCACUUUAAAUUCAAAUAUUCAUUAAUAACAUGCUUCUGAAAAAAAUUAUAACACAAGAAACACCACAAUGGUAUUAUGCAAAAUGUCUUUUUCCAUCUUUUUUUUUUUUUGUGAGAAGUACAAUAAGGCUACUGUAAGUACUUCAGCAUGAAUAUAAAGGCACUUUAAAUUCAACUCACAUUUACAAUCAUUCAGAUAAGAUGAAGAUUCACUUCACAUCAUAUCUUUGAUAUACUCUUAUUCAAGCAUAAUUAUGUCAUAUAACAAAAAAAAGCCAUACAUUUACAACUUAAAAAGAAAUAUAUAUAUAUAUAUAUA
Molecule: RNA transcript, 8256 nt
Organism: Ctenopharyngodon idella (grass carp)
Lineage: Eukaryota; Metazoa; Chordata; Actinopteri; Cypriniformes; Xenocyprididae
Gene name: 60 kDa lysophospholipase-like
Exons: 3
Source: RefSeq, a predicted model, not a curated record